Mirounga angustirostris (Northern elephant seal) is the source of this 3529-nucleotide long non-coding RNA. RefSeq lists it as uncharacterized. NCBI's taxonomy places the organism in Eukaryota, Metazoa, Chordata, Mammalia, Carnivora, Phocidae. The transcript has 3 exons. The record is from RefSeq and is a predicted model, not a curated record.
UAAUGCCUGAAAGAAUACAAACAGGUUUCCAAGUCUAUUAGAUAAUUGCGAUCUGAAAGGCAUUCAUAAAAGACACAAACCUUGGCGAGUCCUACUAAUACCUGACAGCACAUUAGCAAACACUGUGUCGCAUUAUACUACUUUAAUCUUUUCUCGAUAAUCCAUUCUUUUCAGGGAUAAUGGAAAGGAAAACAGAAAAGUGAAAACUCUCAUUACAGAGCAAGCACUGAAUAAAUAUAUGAGAGUAAAACAUAUAUACACAUAAAUAUUCUAGAAGUGGUGACUUCUAAUUUCAUCCUCAAAAAAAAAAAAAAAUUGGAAAAGCUUCCACAGCAGAUGAGGGCAGGCUGGUGAUUAUCUGUUUUAUUAACAGGACCACAGUGUCCCAGAAGUGAAGUUCCAGGUGACAAGAAAGGUCAGGGGGUCCCUGUAUUGAUCCUGCUGAAGGAGGUCACUUUUUAUUGUGCAGUAUUAAUGAUGAGAACAUUUAUCUCCCCCCUCCACUUCGACAUCCUCAGACAGCUUCCCAAGCCCUCAUUAAGACCCCGAGGUCCCCACCCUGUGCUAUUAUUCUUGCAUGAAUUACUUUACAUUUCAGUGCUGUUAUUUAAUGUUUCAUCAGUUAACACUCUCCCAGUGCAGCAAACCCUCAGAAUCGGAUGGAUGGGGGAAGGAAGGAAGGCUUUCGUGAAUGUGUGAAAAGACAGAACAAGGGAGUAUUUCAGAACAAACUGAAAAGCCAUUUCGGGUUUACUCUGAGAACGUGCGCACGCACACGGGCACACACACACCCUAACACAACAAAGUUUACCUACUACAGCUCCUCGGGGGAACCGACUCAGGGAAAGGCUAAGAGUAUUCUGUAAUUAGCAUAGCACACAGUUUGGAUGUGAAGGCACCGCGGUGAUCGCAGAAUCAAGGGUCGGGUGUGAAAUGCACAGUGAACCUGGCUACCAUGAGGGGAUGUAAAAUGAUUACUGGAAAUGUUUUUUAAAAAUGGAAACACAAUUAAGGGGAGAUUGGGGAUCCUUAGGAUUCAUUCAACUUUCAAAUGGGUAUAGUAACAGUACGUGCCUUCUAGUGUUGUUACAGAGAUUAAAUGAGAUGAUGCACGUCACAGGCUUGGCACGGGGCUGGACUGCUGGGAAGGGCUCGAUGCUGAUGAUGAGGAUGGUGAUGAUCAAAGUGUAUUUAGCCCCCAGGUGCAACAGCAUCCCCCUCAGUCAGUGUUGACAGAAAAUUCAAGAAGGAAGGACGGGAGAGCUGAGAGCUCUGAGCACAGGCAUCAGACCAUCUGGAUCAUCCCCUUCUGGUACUUAGCUGUGAGAGUGUGGCCCUACUGAUGUCCUGCUGGCUGGAAUGUGGAAGAAGGCUGCGUGAGGGGUGAGAAAACACUUUAGACCAUGAGGUGGCCUGAGGACAAGAGACUGGGGGCCUGGGUCUGUGAGGAUGUCCCAGAGCAGAGGCACCCACCAGCAGCAGACUGCCCACCGCAGAACUUCAUGUGGGACAGAAAUCAACUUGCCUGUUGCUUGAGCCCCAGGUAGCUUGCGUCUGUUUCCUGCAGCAAAACUGAAUCCUAAUGGAUUCAGUAAUGUGCCUAUUACCCAGAAGGGUUCUUGGAAGGGUAUUUGGAAGAUGCAUGGCCCAGAACCCAGAGAAAGGACCAGAUGGGAAGGACCUGGUUCUUCUGUAAGCAGGUCACAAACCAGCCCUUUAGGUAGGUCGUUGCUCAGAUUUAUCACUGUGGUCUUCUGUUCACAUCUGUCUGGUGGGAUGCUGUGUGCAGAUUGUAAACACACAGAUGGAGGGAUUAUGGGUAACAUUUCUAAUAGUAACAUGAGCUUUUAAUGACACUGGAUUCAGCUAAUCAACUCCCCGUAUCACCCAUCGUCAGUGAAUCACCAACCAGGAAGAAUGGUGAGAGGACACUGUGCUUAGUAGAUCUUACAGUUGAUGACAAAAACUGCUCAGACAAGAAAAACGAUUAUAAAUAAAUGAUGAGAACUUCUCUAGCCAUCUGACACAGAUUAUUUUCUGACCUCAUAACAAGCAUACAAGUUUAGGAUUUAUGAUCACCUGUUUCUAUAUGAAGAAACAGGUUUAGAGAGGCUUGGUGACUUGCCCAAGGUCACUAACAGCCCAUUAGUAAAGGGGUUGAGCUCGGAUUCACACCCACGACUGUCUGACUCUAACCCCACACCUCUCGUGCACUAAGCUACACAGUAGCUAGACGUACAAGACGUACAAGUAUGCAGAUUCACUAGCGGCUUUGCCCACCACUCCUUCACACAGCUUGGUGGUUUAAGGUAUCAAGGAGAUAGAAAAAAAUAAGGCCGUGGGCGGGGGAGUGGGGAGCUGGCAAGGUGACUCAAAGGCAGGGGAAGAGGCAUUUCCCCAUACGUUUUGCACACUUUGGUGGGGAGAGGCUGAUCCAGCUACCUUAUUAACUCCUCAACCACCUUCUUGGCUUGUAAGGGCAGAGAUGUUGCUGCAUCCUUUCUGUGGUGUCUUAUAAUACCUAGAAAGUAAUUUUAAAAGAAUGUAUUACAAGCCAGCCACUUUAUCACAAAAGGUCUUAGGCCAAUAAUUGCUUUCAUUAUAUAAAACCUAUAAAAUAUAUUUUUCUAAUUUCAUAUUAGAGCCAAAUGAAGGUCAAGAGAAAAGUCUGGGGGAACCUGGGUGGCUCCUUCAGUGAAGCGUCUGCCUUCGGCUCAGGCCAUGAUCCCAGGGUCCUACUCAGUAGAGAGCCUGUGUCCCCCUCUCCCUCUGCCUCUCUGAGACCUCCUCACCCCCCCGCGCUGGCUUGUGCUCUCUUGCUCUCUGUCAAAUAAAUAAAAUUUUUUAAAAAAAGAGAGAGAGAGAGAAAAAAUCUGGUUCUUAUACCCAAGUGGAUUUAGAGGGGGUUUGAAGUAAGAGAGAAGAACACUGCUUCCAGAGGUUCGUAGAAGCAGCCUGAGCCCAGAGCUGCAAGUGCAAGGCUCAGAAGCUUCUGAGCUGAGGUUUUCCUUAAGCUGGAGUUGGCAGCCCUGGGACGGCUACUGGAUGCCCCCUGCAAUGCUGCUCUUGGCUGCCCUACAUCCCCUCUCCCCUCUUUUUCCUUCCCGCAAAGACAGAGAGCCCAAAGAUUCCUGGAUCAAGGAAUUUUGCUUGCCCCCCCCGCAGAAUAAUGAGGAAGGAAGGCCUUUUCCAUCUUGAAGAAGAAAAUUAAGUUAAUGGAGAGAAUUUCCUCAAAUGUAAGUUUCUGUCAUAAAAUUUCUAUACUUGCUAGCAUUUGCUAACAUUUGUUCAUGAUAGAGUCAAGUAAGAAUCUGUCUUAUUUAGCCCAAAAUGACUGGUUUCAGUACUUUCGGCUUAAUAUGAAUAUGUCACAGUUUGUUUUUUGGCAAAGCACGCCCAUGAGUUUCAGACUGAUGUAGAGUGAUGAGGCAUUUCCACUGGUGUGUCUCCAGAAAAAGAGGAAAGAGGGCCAAGGCUUUUGGGGUUUUAGGGUUUAGGGGGAGGGCAGAUUCUAGUUCUUUUUCUUAUU